GCCCCCGUAGCUCAAUCGGAUAGAGCGGCGAGCUACUAACUCGAUUGUUCUGGGUUCAAUUCCCAGCGGGGGCA
RNAcentral lists this transfer RNA (74 nucleotides) under Candidatus Abyssobacteria bacterium SURF_17. Its description in RNAcentral is "Candidatus Abyssubacteria bacterium SURF_17 tRNA-Ser". It matches the Rfam family "tRNA". Rfam says of the family: Transfer RNA (tRNA) molecules are approximately 80 nucleotides in length. Their secondary structure includes four short double-helical elements and three loops (D, anti-codon, and T loops). Lineage: Bacteria; Pseudomonadati; Candidatus Hydrogenedentota; Candidatus Abyssobacteria. The record is from RNAcentral.